RNAcentral lists this ribosomal RNA (253 nucleotides) under uncultured bacterium. RNAcentral describes it as "partial 16S ribosomal RNA". It matches the Rfam family "Bacterial small subunit ribosomal RNA", at positions 524 to 776 of the family's 1533-position model. The record is from RNAcentral.
UACGUAGGGUGCGAGCGUUGUCCGGAAUUAUUGGGCGUAAAGAGCUUGUAGGCGGUUUGUCGCGUCUGCUGUGAAAAUCCGGGGCUCAACCCCGGACUUGCAGUGGGUACGGGCAGACUGGAGUGUGGUAGGGGAGACUGGAAUUCCUGGUGUAGCGGUGGAAUGCGCAGAUAUCAGGAGGAACACCGGUGGCGAAGGCGGAUCUCUGGGCCAUUACUGACGCUGAGGAGCGAAAGCGUGGGGAGCGAACAGG